Molecule: long non-coding RNA, 502 nt
Organism: Mauremys mutica (yellowpond turtle)
Lineage: Eukaryota; Metazoa; Chordata; Testudines; Geoemydidae
Exons: 3
Source: RefSeq, a predicted model, not a curated record
GGGAAAGCAAGGACCAUGCAGCGUGAGGAGCAGGAUUGCAGUGGGAUUGUUUUGUUCUGUAGGAAAUACAAACAGGUGGAAAGCACUUAGCAGGGGCAGAGCACAGGAGGUUAAAGCUGUACAGGGAAGUCAGGGUGAGGUCUGGAGAGCCAGUCUGGGCAAGCUUUAGAUGUGUCAUGUAUUGCUCCCUCUUUCCCCUUGAGUGUCUUCAAAUAAGCUCCCCAAGUGCUGCUGCUCCAGCCAGCCUGAGGCCUGGCACCCGAGGAUUAGAACAGAAACACUGAUGCAGUCCUGAAGGCAGCCUGGUCUUGCUGAUUGUUCUGUGCAAGGAGUGAGGUUACGAACCAUUUCCUGGGCGCAGUCUAGUGCUUCGAAGAAGCAGGGGUCAAGAGGCGGACGGACGCAGAGUGAUCCAGAGGCCUGGCUUGGAAAGUGGGUGCUGGACCUGACUCAGUUUCCCCAUCUGUAAAGUGGCAGUGAUGAUCCAUGCUCAGGGGUCAUA